UGAAAGAGGAGUUUGUGGGAGAAGAGACAACUAGAUCUGUAUAGAUUAGAUCAUGGUGGUCUCCAUAAAUAGACCGGUUGCUGAAGAGUGGAUGAUGGGGGGACCACAGCCAAACAUCAGGACAGAAGUCUGCAUGAGUCAGCAGCUACACACACCACAAAGGCUCUUUUAAGAGCCACAUCUUGAGAGCAUCUUUGGCUUUGUGCUUCUGGUGUGAGACGAUGGAGCUGUAUCACUAAUCAAUGUACACGUACGUUAAAUUGAAGUGCUAAAUUUGUAAAAUUAUACAUUUUAUAGUUUAAUUAAGAUACUCUCCCAGAUAAACCUACUGUGUUGCAGCUGUUGAGAGGACAAUUCUGGAGGCACUUAACGAACUGGACAUGAAGAUCAAUCAUCUGACUUCAGUGGUCCAGUCCCUUGCAGCUAACAGACGUUCCAGUGCUCCAGUGCUGCUGGUGGACAGCGAGGAUGAUGUCUUUCCUCACACAACCAUGGAGGAACUAGACAAAUUGGAAAGACAAUUAUCAGAAAAAGCAAUGAUGCAAAAGAUG
Molecule: long non-coding RNA, 551 nt
Organism: Cyprinus carpio carpio
Lineage: Eukaryota; Metazoa; Chordata; Actinopteri; Cypriniformes; Cyprinidae
Source: Ensembl